GCAUAUCAAUAAGCGGAGGAAAAGAAACCAACCGGGAUUGCCUCAGUAACGGCGAGUGAAGCGGCAAGAGCUCAAAUUUGAAAGCUGGCCCCUCCGGGGUCCGCAUUGUAAUUUGCAGAGGAUGCUUCGGGUGCAGCCCCCGUCUAAGUGCCCUGGAAUGGGCCGUCAGAGAGGGUGAGAAUCCCGUCUGGGAUGGGGUGCCUGUGCCCGUGUGAAGCUCCUUCGACGAGUCGAGUUGUUUGGGAAUGCAGCUCUAAAUGGGUGGUAAAUUUCAUCUAAAGCUAAAUAUUGGCCGGAGACCGAUAGCGCACAAGUAGAGUGAUCGAAAGAUGAAAAGCACUUUGAAAAGAGAGUUAAACAGCACGUGAAAUUGUUGAAAGGGAAGCGCUUGCGACCAGACUCGCCUCCGGGGUUCAGCCGGCAUUCGUGCCGGUGUACUUCCCCGGGGGCGGGCCAGCGUCGGUUUGGGCGGCCGGUCAAAGGCCUCCGGAAUGUAGCGCCCUUCGGGGCGCCUUAUAGCCGGGGGUGCAAUGCGGCCAGCCUGGACCGAGGAACGCGCUUCGGCUCGGACGCUGGCAUAAUGGUCGUAAACGACCCGUCUUGAAACACGGACCAAGGAGUCUAACAUCUACGCGAGUGUUCGGGUGUCAAACCCGUACGCGCAGUGAAAGCGAACGGAGGUGAGAGCCCCCCCGUGGGGCGCAUCAUCGACCGAUCCUGAAGUCUUCGGAUGGAUUUGAGUAAGAGCGUAGCUGUGGGGACCCGAAAGAUGGUGAACUAUGCCUGAAUAGGGCGAAGCCAGAGGAAACUCUGGUGGAGGCUCGCAGCGGUUCUGACGUGCAAAUCGAUCGUCAAAUUUGGGUAUAGGGGCGAAAGACUAAUCGAACCAUCUGGUAGCUGGUUCCUGCCGA
RNAcentral lists this ribosomal RNA (911 nucleotides) under Aspergillus flavipes. RNAcentral describes it as "LSU rRNA". It matches the Rfam family "Eukaryotic large subunit ribosomal RNA", at positions 38 to 964 of the family's 3401-position model. The record is from RNAcentral. Lineage: Eukaryota; Fungi; Ascomycota; Eurotiomycetes; Eurotiales; Aspergillaceae.